RNAcentral lists this transfer RNA (73 nucleotides) under Ailuropoda melanoleuca (giant panda). It matches the Rfam family "tRNA". Rfam says of the family: Transfer RNA (tRNA) molecules are approximately 80 nucleotides in length. Their secondary structure includes four short double-helical elements and three loops (D, anti-codon, and T loops). Further hydrogen bonds mediate the characteristic L-shaped molecular structure. tRNAs have two regions of fundamental functional importance: the anti-codon, which is responsible for specific mRNA codon recognition, and the 3' end, to which the tRNAs corresponding amino acid is attached (by aminoacyl-tRNA synthetases). tRNAs cope with the degeneracy of the genetic code in two manners: having more than one tRNA (with a specific anti-codon) for a particular amino acid; and 'wobble' base-pairing, i.e. permitting non-standard base-pairing at the 3rd anti-codon position. Lineage: Eukaryota; Metazoa; Chordata; Mammalia; Carnivora; Ursidae. The record is from Rfam by way of RNAcentral.
GCCUGGCUGGCUCAGUCGGUAGAGCACUCAACUGUCAGUCUCAGGGUUGUGAGUUCAAGCCCCAUGUUGGGUG